This is a non-coding RNA of Onychomys torridus (southern grasshopper mouse), 420 nucleotides long. NCBI's taxonomy places the organism in Eukaryota, Metazoa, Chordata, Mammalia, Rodentia, Cricetidae. The record is from the annotation of a RefSeq genome assembly.
AUGGGAUGGAGCUGGAUCUUCCUCUUCCUCCUGUCAGUAACUACAGGUGUCCACUCCCAGGUCCAGCUGCAACAAUCUGGCCCUGAGUUGAGGAGGCCUGGUUCCUCUGUGAAGUUGUCCUGCAAGGCUUCUGGCUACACCUUCACUGAUGAAUAUAUGAACUGGGUGAAGCAGAGGCCUGGUCAGAGCCUAGAGUGGGUUGGAAGAAUUGAUCCUGAAAAUAAUGAUACUAAAUACAAUCAGAAGUUCAAGGACAAGGCCAGACUGACUGCAGACACAUCCUCCAGUACAGUCUACAUGGAGCUCAGCAGCCUGAAACCUGAGGACUCUUUGGUCUAUUACUGUAGAGUGUCACAGUGUUUCAACCCCAUCCUGAGUGUGUCAGAAAUCCCUGAGAAGAGGAAGCUGCCCUGGGAUUGA